RNAcentral lists this ribosomal RNA (300 nucleotides) under uncultured Methanomassiliicoccus sp. RNAcentral describes it as "bacterial SSU rRNA". The stretch from base 52 to 300 matches the Rfam family "Bacterial small subunit ribosomal RNA", at positions 547 to 795 of the family's 1533-position model. The record is from RNAcentral. Lineage: Archaea; Methanobacteriati; Thermoplasmatota; Thermoplasmata; Methanomassiliicoccales; Methanomassiliicoccaceae.
GUAGAGUGCGGGCUGGCGGCCGUUGUAGGAGAGAGGGGGCAUGCUGUGGUCGGAAGUACUGUGCGGAAAGGGGGCGUAGGCGGUGAGUGAAGUCAGAUGUGAAAUGCCUCGGUGUAACCUAGGAUCUGCAUCUGAUACUAGGCGGCUAGAGUAUGGUAUAGGGAGGUAGAAUUCCAGGUGUAGCGGUGAAAUGCGUAGAUAUCUGGAGGAAUACCGGUGGCGAAGGCGGCAUCCUGGACGAUAACUGACGCUGAUGCGCGAAAGCAUGGGGAGCAAACAGGAUUAGAUACCCUAGUAGUC